UUUUUGCGUAAAGGAUAGUAGUGAAAAUCCUUUUUUUUUAUGAAGCGAUAGCGCAAUAAAGAGAAAGAUUGUAGCGAAUAGCCUGACCCCGC
This 92-nucleotide small RNA is filed under the name Flavobacterium weaverense. RNAcentral describes it as "Flavo-1 RNA". It matches the Rfam family "Flavo-1 RNA". Lineage: Bacteria; Pseudomonadati; Bacteroidota; Flavobacteriia; Flavobacteriales; Flavobacteriaceae. The record is from RNAcentral.